UACGUAGGGUGCGAGCGUUGUCCGGAAUUAUUGGGCGUAAAGAGCGUGUAGGCGGUCAGGUAGGUCGGUUGUGAAAACUGGAGGCUCAACCUUCAGAGGUCGACCGAAACCCCCUGGCUAGAGUCCGGGAGAGGAGAGUGGAAUUCCUGGUGUAGCGGUGAAAUGCGCAGAUAUCAGGAAGAACACCCGUGGCGAAAGCGGCUCUCUGGAACGGUACUGACGCUGAGACGCGAAAGCGUGGGGAGCGAACAGG
Molecule: ribosomal RNA, 253 nt
Filed under: uncultured bacterium
Lineage: Bacteria
Description: partial 16S ribosomal RNA
Rfam family: Bacterial small subunit ribosomal RNA
Source: RNAcentral